CAGCGACAGCAAACUGCCGGAUAUGCAGGCCGGAUGGGAGCAGAUGUGCUCCAAUGUGAUGGCUGGUCUGUCGGGACUUAAUAUGGUCUACGAGGCUG
Regulatory RNA element from Shimia marina, 98 nucleotides. It matches the Rfam family "Pyrrolysine insertion sequence mttB". NCBI's taxonomy places the organism in Bacteria, Pseudomonadati, Pseudomonadota, Alphaproteobacteria, Rhodobacterales, Roseobacteraceae. The record is from Rfam.